RNAcentral lists this ribosomal RNA (163 nucleotides) under Psittacanthus schiedeanus. RNAcentral describes it as "5.8S ribosomal RNA". It matches the Rfam family "5.8S ribosomal RNA". From Rfam's summary of the family: 5.8S ribosomal RNA (5.8S rRNA) is a component of the large subunit of the eukaryotic ribosome. It is transcribed by RNA polymerase I as part of the 45S precursor that also contains 18S and 28S rRNA. Functionally, it is thought that 5.8S rRNA may be involved in ribosome translocation. The record is from RNAcentral. Lineage: Eukaryota; Viridiplantae; Streptophyta; Magnoliopsida; Santalales; Loranthaceae.
AUAACGACUCUUGGCAACGGAUAUCUUGGCUCUCGCAUCGAUGAAGAACGCAGCGAAAUGCGAUACCUGGUGUGAAUUGCAGAAUCCCGUGAAUCAUCGAGUCUUUGAACGCAAGUUGCGCCCGAGGCCAUUUGGUCUAGGGCACGCCUGCCUGGGUGUCACA